RNAcentral lists this ribosomal RNA (1376 nucleotides) under Streptococcus dysgalactiae. RNAcentral's name for it is "bacterial SSU rRNA". It matches the Rfam family "Bacterial small subunit ribosomal RNA", at positions 91 to 1454 of the family's 1533-position model. Lineage: Bacteria; Bacillati; Bacillota; Bacilli; Lactobacillales; Streptococcaceae. The record is from RNAcentral.
AGGAGUUGCGAACGGGUGAGUAACGCGUAGGUAACCUACCUCAUAGCGGGGGAUAACAAUUGGAAACGAUAGCUAAUACCGCAUGACAAUGGAGGACCCAUGUCUUUCAUUUGAAAGGUGCAACUGCAUCACUAUGAGAUGGACCUGCGUUGUAUUAGCUAGUUGGUGAGGUAACGGCUCACCAAGGCCACGAUGCAUAGCCGACCUGAGAGGGUGAUCGGCCACAUUGGGACUGAGACACGGCCCAAACUCCUACGGGAGGCAGCAGUAGGGAAUCUUCGGCAAUGGACGAAAGUCUGACCGAGCAACGCCGCGUGAGUGAAGAAGGUUUUCGGAUCGUAAAACUCUGUUGUUAGAGAAGAAUGAUGGUGGGAGUGGAAAAUCCACCAUGUGACGGUAACUAACCAGAAAGCCACGGCUAACUACGUGCCAGCAGCCGCGGUAAUACGUAGGUGGCAAGCGUUGUCCGGAUUUAUUGGGCGUAAAGCGAGCGCAGGCGGUUUCUUAAGUCUGAUGUGAAAGCCCCCGGCUCAACCACUGUACGCUUUGGAAACUGGAGAACUUGAGUGCAGAAGGGGAGAGUGGAAUUCCAUGUGUAGCGGUGAAAUGCGUAGAUAUAUGGAGGAACACCAAGUGCCGAAGGCGGCUCUCUGGUCUGAAACUGCCGUUGAGGCUCGAAAGCGUGGGAAGCAACCAGGAUUAGAUACCCUGGUAGUCCACGCCGUAAACGAUGAGUGCUAGGUGUUAGGCCCUUUCCGGGGCUUAGUGCUGCAGCUAACGCAUUAAGCACUCCGCCUGGGGAGUACGACCGCAAGGUUGAAACUCAAAGGAAUUGACGGGGGCCCGCACAAGCGGUGGAGCAUGUGGUUUAAUUCGAAGCAACGCGAAGAACCUUACCAGGUCUUGACAUCCUCCUGACCGGUCUAGAGAUAGACUUUCCCUUCGGGGCAGGAGUGACAGGUGGUGCAUGGUUGUCGUCAGCUCGUGUCGUGAGAUGUUGGGUUAAGUCCCGCAACGAGCGCAACCCUUAUUGUUAGUUGCCAUCAUUCAGUUGGGCACUCUAGCAAGACUGCCGGUGACAAACCGGAGGAAGGUGGGGAUGACGUCAAAUCAUCAUGCCCCUUAUGACCUGGGCUACACACGUGCUACAAUGGUUGGUACAACGAGUCGCAAGCCGGUGACGGCAAGCUAAUCUCUUAAAGCUUCUCUCAGUUCGGAUUGCAGGCUGCAACUCGCCUGCAUGAAGCCGGAAUCGCUAGUAAUCGCGGAUCAGCACGCCGCGGUGAAUACGUUCCCGGGCCUUGUACACACCGCCCGUCACACCACGAGAGUUUGUAACACCCGAAGUCGGUGAGGUAACCUUUUUGGAGCCAGCC